RNAcentral lists this ribosomal RNA (481 nucleotides) under uncultured bacterium. Its description in RNAcentral is "partial 16S ribosomal RNA". It matches the Rfam family "Bacterial small subunit ribosomal RNA", at positions 28 to 507 of the family's 1533-position model. The record is from RNAcentral.
GACGAACGUUGGCGGCGUGCUUAAUACAUGCAAGUCAACUGAAGCAGUGGUAGCAAUAUCGCUGUGGAGGUGGCGCACGGGUGAGUAACACGUAGGUAAUCUGCCUUCAGGUCUGGCAUAACUCCGGGAAACCGGGGCUAAUAGCAGAUGAUGCAGCGGCUCGACAUCGAGACAGUUGUUAAAGCUAUGGCGCCUGAAGAUGAGCCUGCGUCUGAUUAGCUAGUUGGCGGGGUAACGGCCCACCAAGGCAACGAUCAGUAGCUGGUCUGAGAGGAUGAUCAGCCACACUGGAACUGAGACACGGUCCAGACUCCUACGGGAGGCAGCAGUAAGGAAUAUUGCUCAAUGGGAGAAAUCCUGAAGCAGCAACGCCGCGUGAGGGACGAAGGGCUUUUGCUUGUAAACCUCUGUAGUGAGAGAAAAAAAUCCCAGUCUUUGGGACAUGAUGGUAUCUCAAAAGUAAGCCCCGGCUAACUACGUG